This 139-nucleotide Y RNA is filed under the name Ruegeria pomeroyi DSS-3. Its description in RNAcentral is "Y RNA-like". It matches the Rfam family "Y RNA-like". Rfam says of the family: In Deinococcus radiodurans Rsr is tethered via Y RNA to the exoribonuclease PNPase and channels single-stranded RNA into the PNPase cavity. Rsr and Y RNA enhance degradation of structured RNAs by PNPase. Lineage: Bacteria; Pseudomonadati; Pseudomonadota; Alphaproteobacteria; Rhodobacterales; Roseobacteraceae. The record is from Rfam by way of RNAcentral.
UCGGCGAAUGUCGGUGGAACUACAGACUGUCACUCUCCAGGUUGCGGGUUCGAGUCCCGUCGCGUCGUUGCCCUUUGGGGACCGGCGCGUAGCUCAAACGGAUAGAGCGGGAGUUUCACCAAACCCUUGUCGCCGGGAC